AGCCUUUUCUGGCCCCAUUGUCCCGAUUAUGUUCGCAUAUUUGAUUCACUGGAAUUUGGGUAACAGUUGUGUUCUUUUCAUCUUCCCAUACUUUCAGAAAUGCCUCUUCUUUAACUUCUCUCCUUCUAUCACCCUUUUUCACUAACGACUCAUCCCCAAAGACGAUUAGGGGACACAAUUACUCUACGCCACCCAAGGGUUGCAUUAUAAAGUUUUCAUUAUAAGGUGCUAAAGUGUGAAGAAGAACCCAAAAGGCAUAUGCGGAGAAUCAAAGUUGAGACUUGUAUAUGUUUCUUUUUUCCCAAGAAUCAUGGACUUGCUCUGUAAAGUUUUGCUUCUAAGGUUUGCUUUACUUUGCAGUUGAUUAUUUCCUGGUUGUAGGUGUUGGUUAUUUUAUUGUUUUUAUUGAAGUGAAAGAAGAAGUAGCAAUGUAUGGAACACAUAAGGGGAAGAGACGCGAUUAAGCGAUUUUUCGAAUAACAAAUGAAUAAAUGAAGGGGAAAAGGGCCUCUUCUUCAACUGCUAUUUCUAAAUUUAGUUAUUUUGUUGAAACACUUCACUUAUUGUUAUCCAUUGAAUAAUUUUUUAUUCCCUAUUGUCUUCUGAUUAUUUAUAGCUUUGUAGCAGAGAAGUGGAGGAGUGCAGAAUCAGGGCCUACAGAGAUCACUCUUGAAACUUCUAAUGGUUUACACUUGAGGUACUGUAUUCUUCUACUUCUUUGUUUUUAUUAUUGUGUAUUCAGGGUUAGUACCGAGGGAAAACUUGAAUACCGAGGGAAAACUUGAAAUUCCUACCCUAAAAGUAGAUGCAUUAUAAGAUGCUUCAACAUUCCACUGCAUCCCUGAUGCCCUGAGAUUUUUCCAGCUUAGUCGCGGAAUUGAAAGAAACAUAUACCUCAUAUCUGUUGCCACAGGACAAUUCAAAAGAAAAGAUGAUUUACUUAUCUGCUACCAGUUGAAAUACGCUAAGAUAACAGAUAAAGAGCAAGUCAAAUAGUGUUCAUGUAAGUUUUUCUUUCUAAAAUUGGGCUCAUCUCCCAUUGUGGGUGGUUGGUGGUAGUAUAUCAUUAUUUAGGCAUAGUCAUAAAAUUCCCUUAGUACUUUUUCCUUCAAAUUGUACUUAAUGUUGGCUUCUCUUUGCUGCAGAUUUUAUAGCUCAAAUAUGAUUCAUGUUUUCCUUUCUGUUGGCACAUGAUGCACAUGCUUUUGUAUUACCUUUUGGCUCAAUUGAUUGAAACUCUUGAUUUUCAGGUUGUUAGUGACUUAUUUUGUUGUGGAAAACCUGUUUGUAAUGAGGAAAAAAAUACGAACUUUGAGAGUAGAUGCAUCACAAGUAUGUACCAAAAACUUUCCGUGAGUUCAUGGAGCUUGCUUCGAUAUGGUAUUAUGAUAAUGUCAAAUUUCACAUAGUCAUCAAGGUUUCGUUUUCUUUAUCAUUUUUUUGUUGUUAAUUUUAGAUGACAUCGGGUUCUGAUCUUAUUGUAUACCACUAUUCUUUUUUGUUUUAUUGAUUUGGAUGUAGGAUAUUAUUGUUUGUGUUGGAAUUUGCUUAUGGUAUUUAUAGGCCUCAAUGGCUUUUUGUGAUUACUAUUUAUGGCAUUUAAAGGUUUAUAGAGCUGGAAAAUUUAUUUAUGGUAUUUAUAGGCCUAAAUGGCUUUGUGACUGCUUUAUAACACAUCAGUUAAGAAUAUCGGUGAAAGUUGAUGCCUUUGGUACUAAGUUUCCUAGCAAUUCAUGGCCUUUGAAUGCUCUAACUUCGCUAGAGUUUGUUAUUUUAAAUUUUUUUCUAUUAUAGGCCUUCAAUGAAAGGUGUAAUAGUUGUUGGGAACAAGUAGCUGCCAAAGAUUACAUUACCAAAAAACUUUGUUG
Lycium ferocissimum is the source of this 1868-nucleotide long non-coding RNA. RefSeq lists it as uncharacterized. The transcript has 2 exons. The record is from RefSeq and is a predicted model, not a curated record. NCBI's taxonomy places the organism in Eukaryota, Viridiplantae, Streptophyta, Magnoliopsida, Solanales, Solanaceae.